AAUGAACGCUGGCGGCAGGCCUAACACGUGCAAGUCGAACGGAUCCUUCGGGAUUAGUGGCGGACGGGUGAGUAACGCGUGGGAACAUACCCAAAGGUACGGAAUAGCCUCGGGAAACUGGGAGUAAUACCGUAUGUGCUCGAAAGAGGAAAGAUUUAUCGCCUUUGGAUUGGCCCGCGUUGGAUUAGGUAGUUGGUGGGGUAAUGGCCUACCAAGCCGACGAUCCAUAGCUGGUUUGAGAGGAUGAUCAGCCACACUGGGACUGAGACACGGCCCAGACCCCUACGGGAGGCAGCAGUGGGGAAUCUUAGACAAUGGGGGAAACCCUGAUCUAGCCAUGCCGCGUGAUCGAUGAAGGCCUUAGGGUUGUAAAGAUCUUUCAGGUGGGAAGAUAAUGACUGUACCACCAGAAGAAGCCCCGGCUAACUCCGUGCCAGCAGCCGCAGUAA
This 449-nucleotide ribosomal RNA is filed under the name uncultured bacterium. RNAcentral describes it as "partial 16S ribosomal RNA". It matches the Rfam family "Bacterial small subunit ribosomal RNA", at positions 29 to 523 of the family's 1533-position model. The record is from RNAcentral.